AUUGUCACUAGGCUGGGAAUACAUACAAGAAGCUCUCUAUCUCUUUCUCUUAGUUAGCCAGGUUAAACUUUAGUUUUCGAUUCCGCGACUCUGAGAAUCACAAACUAGAAAUAUCAUAAGAAAAGAGAAAAGAAAAUAACUAAAAGAGGGAAAGACUCUUUAUUACACGAGUACGAGCGUAGAGUAAGGAGCUGUAGUUGGUCGCCUCUCCUUUCAGUCGAGUUACUUCACCCCUAAACUGGAAGAAAAAUCGAAUAACUGAACCUGUAAGCCAUAUAGACCACUUUAUAGCCUGUUCAAAAGGGAUUGAAUGUGUUAAUUUGAUUGAAAAUGUGUAAGUCAUAAGAGAAGGGAGAUUUAACAGAAAACCUUUAUUUGAAAUAGCAGAAAAAGUAGAGCAAGAAGCUUCCCAUUCUGAGGCUGUGAAGGCCGCUUAAGCCGCAUUAUUUACGUAAUUCUUUGAUCGGAAUCUUACCCCCUACCCCCACAAGGGAAUAAGAGCUCCGAAAAAGGAUAUCUAUAGCUGUGGAGAGGGAAGCGCUUAGAAGCUAUGCUCUUCUUGAAGAAGUGGGGACAUAUCCCUAUCGAGGGUUUUUUCUUCUUAUUUUUUCUAUUUUAUUUAUAAAAGUUUGAUUUUUUCUUUCUUUGUGGAAGGGGAGCAGUUCGGUGCAAGCACCAACUGAGAAUAGAGACUGACAAUAGAGGAUUUCCAUUCAUCUUCCUAUCUGCUAAAGAAGUCAGAUCUCUGCCACUGACGGCAAGCCUUGAUAGGUAUGGCAAGGAAGGUCUCUCUUUCUCUUACGAAAUUUCUCAGUGUGGAGUGAGGUCUGAAUUCUCAAUUUAGCUAUUGCGUACAAUCUCAGAUUCUAACCUAGCUAUCUAGAAAAUAUUGGAAUGAAAACUAAGAACUUAGCAAAGAGAGAUGGGCUCAGGGUCCUGAAGUCAAAAGUGGACACUCUGACGGAUAUCCUCCUGAGUCUGGAACAGCGAUUCGAAAUGUUCGGAAUGAAGCUGUCAAUCAUAAACCAUAACACUACCAAGAAGAACCUCCUAAAGCAAAGGCCCUUCACGAGGAUCGAAACUCUCGCGCUUACUAUCUAUCGAAGCCUCUAUAGAUUGGUGCGGGACUCGUUUGCUAGUCUUACGGGCCCACUUUGGCUCUUACAGCUUUGCCUGCAUGCGUAUUUUCCUGAGAUUGCCCCUGAGGGUUCUUCUGUUCCUCCUGAGGUCGAUUCGGUAAUGGUUACCGUUACAUCAACGAUCAGCCUCCUCAGAAGAGUUUUGCUACCUGUUUGGACUUUUUCUUCAAUCUGGGCACCCUACCAACCAGACGGAUUCCAGCCUUUCAAGGACCUUGCUCGAGGCCCGGGUUAUCUUAGAAGCUUCUCCCGGCAGACAAGAUCGCUCAGAAAAAAGAUUCUCAGGCCUGGGUUUCUUAGUUUGUAGAGAUAUACACUUCGGUCUGCAAUACCUCGAUGAAAGCCAAUCAGGAUGUGAACAAAUGGCAUGUCAUGAAGAGGUUGAAAGGCUUGUACGCCCUGGUAGAUGCUCGAUCUAACAAUAAAGGACGGCUAACUGCCUAGAAGUUGUUCGCGGUGCCUCAAACCGGAAGUCCAAAGCUCUUAAACCCUCUGUCAAGGCCAGUGAAGUUCAGUGGUUCUAGAUUCCGUCCGGAGAGUCAUUUUUGUCAAUUUCUUUCUUUUUAUGUAUUUCUGGUAUUUUUUUCUUAUUAUUUCUAAAGAGUUGAUCAAAGUUAAGAGUAAUUUUGCAAUGUAAUUGUUGAUUUAGUUUUUAUGCUUGGUCUUCAGUGAAAAGAUAAGAAGAAGGAAAAUGACAAUAGCUAACCAACUGAGAAAAAUUACAUAACAACAUGUUCUAACCUCAUUUUUGAAUUUAAGUAUAAUAAAUAAAGGCGAUAUUUUAUAGCGACUGCCGGACCAUUCCAUUCAUUGUCUUCUUCUCAACCUCUUCCUGCAAGUUGUUCAGAGAUCUUUCCCGGUCGGCUAUUCCAUUAUGGGCUUUCUUUAUUCCUUUAUUCGGCUAAGGGAGUUACCUUUAGCCUUGUUACCACCGGACCAAGCGAGGAUUCGUAUCAGUUGAUGUAAUUGCCCCGUUUGCAUUACUCCUUAUUUGCCUGGUCCCUUCUUCUUCUUAUGUUUCUCUUUCUUACCUUUCUUUUUUUUGGUAUGGUGCUUGUACAGAGUAGGUUGGGGCUCCUCUAAUACCGUGGGGGAAUCAUUAAGAGGGGGCAUCACUAAUUCCAUACUUAGGAAUAAUUACAAAGGUGAUGGCUUCUUUAGUUAGAACUUGUUUUUUUUCAUUUCCAUCAUUUCUGAAAAUCGAAGAACCUAAUGGAUCGAACUCAUCCCUGGCUGCUAAUAAUGAAACAAAGACCUAUUAUGGAUGCCUCUCUUGCUGAACAGAAGGCUAGAUGAGAUGGGUUCUUUGUUCUGUUAUAAACUCAUCUACUGCUCAUUCGGUUUUCGAAUGAUUGAAUGGUAUUCAACAGCUCUUGGCCGAGCUCGCACUGUCGAUCGUCUUAUUUUAUUUAUUAUUUAUUAUAAGAGUUUGAUCGUCGAUCGUAUCUGAUUAUAAUGGAGCUUGACGUGGAAGGGGGGUCUGUGAGGACCAUAGUAGCAGAGUCUCCACACAACCGGAGAGACCACCUAUUUAUAUUUACAGCGUGAAAAGGUGACAGCGGAAGGGAAGAAAAGAAGUAGCAGAAUCUGUCGGCUUGCCACACAAUUGAUCCAGAGGAGAGUAUGCAGACAGACUUAUUUCUGAGAUGGAACUCAUCCCUCGACGCGGCAUUAUUUGAAAGCACACAACAUCGCCCAGAAGCUUAUAGCCCCUUAGGUCCAAUUCGAUGUGUUAAGUAUAGUGCCGUGGUUUUUCCAACGAGGGAGCGGUAUCCCAGCGGCUUAACGAAUUUGACACCGAAUUAAGUUAGGCUAAUGAAGAACCAGUUAGCUAAGUGUCUGCAGUCCGAGCUUGCUAGGCUCUCUUUACUUUACAAGUCAGAACGUCUACCGGAACGGUUAUUAUGAAACGAGAUUUCUUGCUACCUAUCGCCUAUCAUCAUGAGAAGCGUCUUCUUAUCGUCAUGAAUUGGAUCAUGUCUGCUGUGAACAAUGGGACUGAAAGCUGACAGCAAGCAUUCCUUUAGAAAGGCUAGGCACCAGAGUCAUAGCUUAUGCGAGUCUUACCUUACCACCUGGGAAAUGCACAGAAUAGGUUUUCAGGAAUUGAAUCCGAAGCAAAGAAUGCAAGCUUUGAGGGGUCCGAGUUCGUCACUCCUUGAUAACUUUCUUUUUUGACUUCUUAGCUGCUCGAAGUCGCCAUGUAGGCAGCGUAGGGACUGAUUUUGCGGCACUCUCGUUUGCAUUCUAUAGUAUAGCUCCUUUAUGUCCCGAUAACCCACGGAAUCGACUUGAUUGGGCUAUUUGAAUCUAUAUGUGUGCGGCCAAGCAAGCUAGCCAAUGCGAAGCGUUCUGUGAUUAUCUACAAUAUUAUUAGAUAGAAAUGCUCUUUUCUUCAAUAGCGCACCAAAUGCGCGCAAAGGCGGAGGGUAGGGUGAAAGAGAAGUCAAGGUCUCAGCAUCAGCUAGAAUAGAUGGUGACGGAUAUCCAAUGGAUAUUUACCACCAGAUGACUUGCAGCAAGGGACAUAUCCCUCCCGAUUAUAACAGUGGGCCUCGCCCGUCUACUACUCGACCUUCAGUAACUACAGUUAGCAGGGACUGGGGAUCCAUCCAAUCAAAAUCCAAUAGCUUACUGACUUGCUUGGGUCAUCUAAGAGGUAAGGCUCCCCCGAUCGACCCUAACUCUCAUUCUAAAGAAUUCUGGAGCUAAAGGAGUUCCCUAGC
This 3865-nucleotide unclassified non-coding RNA is filed under the name Hevea brasiliensis (rubber tree). Lineage: Eukaryota; Viridiplantae; Streptophyta; Magnoliopsida; Malpighiales; Euphorbiaceae. The record is from RNAcentral.